This 225-nucleotide long non-coding RNA is filed under the name Gallus gallus (chicken). The record is from RNAcentral. Lineage: Eukaryota; Metazoa; Chordata; Aves; Galliformes; Phasianidae.
GGACUCUCUUCUAUUUCUCCAGCAGUUGUUCUUACAGCACUUCUAUGGCUCUUCUUGCAGAGUUCCAGCAGUAACCAGCACAUCAGGUACACUGCCAAGGUGAAUUUUGCUUUCACGUAUCUUUCAGGCAAAAAGGUAAGGUACAUUUGUACCAAAUCCAGUUCUUCAUUGCCAAUGCUAUCAAUAUCAUCUCUCCCACCUUCCUGUCUUCUUUCUUCAUCUUCU